CUUGGCCAUUACCUGCAGCCGAUGAGCUCCCAAAGGAGCCAAGCCAUUUAGGUCCUGUAGUGCUGGCUGUAUGUUUU
This 77-nucleotide non-coding RNA is filed under the name Numida meleagris (helmeted guineafowl). The record is from RNAcentral. Lineage: Eukaryota; Metazoa; Chordata; Aves; Galliformes; Numididae.